This 253-nucleotide ribosomal RNA is filed under the name uncultured bacterium. Its description in RNAcentral is "partial 16S ribosomal RNA". It matches the Rfam family "Bacterial small subunit ribosomal RNA", at positions 524 to 776 of the family's 1533-position model. The record is from RNAcentral.
GACAGAGGGUGCAAACGUUGCUCGGAAUCACUGGGCGUAAAGGGCGUGUAGGCGGAUAGAUAAGUCGGGCGUGAAAGCCCCAGGCUCAACCUGGGAACUGCACUCGAAACUGUUUAUCUUGAGUGCCGGAGAGGAAAGCGGAAUACCUGGUGUAGAGGUGAAAUUCGUAGAUAUCAGGUGGAACACCAGUGGCGAAGGCGGCUUUCUGGACGGUAACUGACGCUGAGGCGCGAAAGCUAGGGUAGCAAACGGG